UUGCACAAGCAGAAGCUUGUCAUUUGGAGAAGAUCGUCCCAUUACCAAUAUCUUCUCAACGUGUUUUUCCCUUUCUUCAACCGAAUAUUCUCGAAAUACUUUUCCUUCAAUAAGAAUAGGCUCAACAGCAUCUUCAUUCGAACCUAGUAUUCCACAUUCCAAAGCAAUCGCUCUAGCAGUCUGAAGGUUAUCACCAGUGACCAUACGCACCUUCACACCAGCGUUUUGACAUAGUUGCACUGCUUCUUUGACACCUGGUCGGCAUGGGUCCUUUAAGCCGAUAAUAGCCAGCAAAACAAGAUCAUCCUCAGGUAAUGC
RNAcentral lists this unclassified non-coding RNA (318 nucleotides) under Hevea brasiliensis (rubber tree). Lineage: Eukaryota; Viridiplantae; Streptophyta; Magnoliopsida; Malpighiales; Euphorbiaceae. The record is from RNAcentral.